AGAACUAGCAAAAACAAGCCAACAAGGAUAUGACAAAGAAGCAAAAUUUAAAGGAUUUUUUUCAAAACCUAUUCCAAAACCAAUUUCUGUUGUUAAGCCUAUUCCUAUUCCACUAUAUAAGUCUAUACCAAAAUCAAUUCCCAUAGUGAAACCUAUCCCAAAGUCAAUUCCUAAUGAAGAAGAAAAAUUUAAAGGACUUUUUCCAAAGCCUAUUCCCAUAGUUAAGCCUAUUCCGAAGUCAAUUCCCAUUGUUAAGCCAAUACUAAAACCAAUUCCUGUUGUUAAACCUAUUCCUAUUCCAGUAUACAAGUCCAUACCAAAAUCUGUUCCUAUUGUUAAGCCUGUGCCAAAGUUAAUUCCGGUUGUUAAACCCAUAACAAAACCCAUUCCUACUUUUGAGCCAGAAUCUUUUCUAAAGCCGAAGCCUUUCUUUGAAAAACCUGUUCCUAAAUUGCCACUGGAGCCCAAAU
This 470-nucleotide long non-coding RNA is filed under the name Glycine max (soybean). RNAcentral describes it as "long non-coding RNA (GMAX_LNC001834)". The record is from RNAcentral. Lineage: Eukaryota; Viridiplantae; Streptophyta; Magnoliopsida; Fabales; Fabaceae.